UACACUCCUACGGGAGGCAGCAGUGGGGAAUAUUGGACAAUGGGCGCAAGCCUGAUCCAGCCAUGCCGCGUGAGUGAUGAAGGCCCUAGGGUUGUAAAGCUCUUUCACCGGUGAAGAUAAUGACGGUAACCGGAGAAGAAGCCCCGGCUAACUUCGUGCCAGCAGCCGCGGUAAUACGAAGGGGGCUAGCGUUGUUCGGAUUUACUGGGCGUAAAGCGCACGUAGGCGGACUAUUAAGUCAGGGGUGAAAUCCCGGGGCUCAACCCCGGAACUGCCUUUGAUACUGGUAGUCUUGAGUUCGAGAGAGGUGAGUGGAAUUCCGAGUGUAGAGGUGAAAUUCGUAGAUAUUCGGAGGAACACCAGUGGCGAAGGCGGCUCACUGGCUCGAUACUGACGCUGAGGUGCGAAAGCGUGGGGAGCAAACAGGAUUAGAUACCCGGGUAGUCCCAUGAG
RNAcentral lists this ribosomal RNA (453 nucleotides) under uncultured organism. RNAcentral describes it as "partial 16S ribosomal RNA". It matches the Rfam family "Bacterial small subunit ribosomal RNA", at positions 332 to 801 of the family's 1533-position model. The record is from RNAcentral.